GAGAAAGCCUGCCAGCUGCAAUAGGUAUGUCUCACAUGUGGCAGCUUAACACACCUGCAUCACCUAUCGAAGCUGGGGAAAGAAGUAAUGUCACUCUGGGAUAGAAGAUAAACAUGAACAGAUCCCACAGGAGGCGAAUCGCAGCAGCACGCCGGGGCUGGAGUGCAAACGAGUUCAUGAUGAAUGGCGCUGCGCCUUUACAUCGUGCCUUUUGAGAUCUCCCCAAGCAAGCAAGUGGAGCUUAAAAGACAGAGGCUUGAGCAUGUAGUGGAUGCAUUGCAACAAGUUACAACCGUGGCAUCUUUCUAAGUGCUAGGCAGCAUUUUGGAUGGAUAUCAAAGAGAGGUACACAGCUGUUGUUCAAAUGAAUUAUGUCAGGCAUGGAGAGAGGGCAGAGAAAGAGAAAGGGAAGGGGAUGACAGAUUCAUGAACAAGAGCUGCUAGGAUAAGGAUAAAAAGAGAAGAUGGUGUUAGAAGGUGUCGGAGGACAUCCUGUUACAAUUUGGGUGGGGAUAUUGGCAUUGUUCUCUGUCUCCCUGUCUCGUGUGUGUGUGUGUGUGUGUGUGUGUGUGUGUGUGUGAGUGUGUGUGAGAGAGAGAGUAAAUAGACAGGUAUACUAUACAACAUACAAAUUCCUUAAGUGUGAGUAAGGUUGUAAGGCCAAACAAUUCAGGCCAGAUUGUUUUUGUCUAUCAGCCAGAGUGACUCAUGCCAUGGUGAUUCAUGACUAAUGUUUAAUCUGCACUAAUACUUUCUCUAAGGCAAAGACAGCUCCAAAGGAUGUGUGUUGAGACAUAUUACAGAAGCAUAAGACAGCUAUUUAUCUUUUACACCAUAACAAUAGAGUGGCUAACACACACACACACACACACACACACACACACACACACACACACACACACACACACACACACAUAUGCAUGUAUGUUCAGGACUGUUUUCUAGGGGGAAAAAACUAACUUCAUUCCCAUUGACCUAAUAAGAAAACGCACACACACAAACUAGCAAUGCAACAGGUAGAUUGGUUUGUUUACAUCAAUAAAAAUAAUCUACAAAAUGCACAGUGUACAACUGCAAAAAUAAACUCCAAUCUGCAAAGCACAUUUCCUUGGCUUGAGAGUUAUGUAGCGAAGCAAUAAACGAGUCAGCUCUGCACAGCACUGUUAAUCAGCCUAAGAGUUAUGUAGCAAAGCAGUUAAAGAGACAUUUCAAAGAACGUGGUGUACUUUUUUUCUCUCUCUCUCUUUCUCUCUUUCUCUCUCUCUCUCAUCCUUAUUGUAUUCUCGGCAGUCUCAGGGCUUAAUUGUCAGGCCCAUUGCUCAGACGUGGCAUGAAUGCUGAACGAUUUACAAGCGCAAAGAGCUGACUGAACAGCCCGGCACUCCCAUUCACAGGCACAGGAACAUUUUCAUGAAUGACACCCAGCCGCUGAAUGAGACUUCCUGUAUCACAGCUGAAACCAAUCCUCUCUGGCUUGGCUGGGCAAGGCCCUGGGUUCUGGGCUCGGCUGCAGCGUUGGAGUGGGUCCUGAAGCGCCAACUGUUAGGGCACGAGGAGAGAGGCUAUAGUCUCUAGACCCCUAAAGGAUUCACUAGUUUGUCUCCAUAGCGACAUACAUGACAUAUCUAGCCUAUUACAGUUUUGUUUGUGAUUGCUGACUCAUUUGUUUCUGAUUUUACUCAUUCCUGUUAAGCCAACAUAAGCCAAAUAAGACAGGAAACUUGUGGAUACACAUCUUACCCUUAUGUCAAAAAUGAUGCCUCAAUAUCAAAGUUUUAGUAAUAUUUUAAAUAUAACGUUUCAUGUUCAAAGCCUGCUGCUCUUAUGUUGUAAUGACAUCAAAUAGUAUGAUCUCCACCAGACAUUGCAUUCAAAACUCAAUAAUCCCUUUUCAAAAUCUAACUUCAUGGGAUUUUGCUGAAUGAAUGACACAUUUCAGAAAUUGUGUGUAUGAAAUGUUGUUAGCAAGCAGUUUGUGAUUUUAAAAAAUGUAUGUAGUUAAA
Alosa alosa (allis shad) is the source of this 2003-nucleotide long non-coding RNA. RefSeq lists it as uncharacterized. The record is from RefSeq and is a predicted model, not a curated record. Lineage: Eukaryota; Metazoa; Chordata; Actinopteri; Clupeiformes; Clupeidae. The transcript has 3 exons.